AGUUCGGAUUGCAGGCUGCAACUCGCCUGCAUGAAGUCGGAAUCGCUAGUAAUCGCGAAUCAGAAUGUCGCGGUGAAUACGUUCCCGGGUCUUGUACACACCGCCCGUCACACCAUGGGAGUCGGAAAUGCCCGAAGUCAGUGACCCAACCGUAAGGAGGGAGCUGCCGAAGGUGGAGCCGGUAACUGGGGUGAAGUCGUAACAAGGUAGC
This 211-nucleotide ribosomal RNA is filed under the name uncultured bacterium. RNAcentral's name for it is "partial 16S ribosomal RNA". It matches the Rfam family "Bacterial small subunit ribosomal RNA", at positions 1290 to 1500 of the family's 1533-position model. The record is from RNAcentral.